AACGAACGCUGGCGGCAUGCCUAACACAUGCAAGUCGAACGAGACCUUCGGGUCUAGUGGCGCACGGGUGCGUAACGCGUGGGAACCUGCCCUUAGGUUCGGAAUAACUCCCCGAAAGGGGUGCUAAUACCGGAUAAUGUCUUCGGACCAAAGAUUUAUCGCCUUUGGAUGGGCCCGCGUUGGAUUAGCUAGUUGGUAGGGUAAAAGCCUACCAAGGCGACGAUCCAUAGCUGGUCUGAGAGGAUGAUCAGCCACACUGGGACUGAGACACGGCCCAGAAACCAAGGGAGGGAGGAGGGGGGGAAUAUGGGAAAGGGGGCAAAGGCCUGAACCAGAAAGGAGGGGGGAGUGAUAAGGGCCUUAGGGUUGAAAAGCUCUUUUACCCGGAAUAAAAAGAAAAGGACGGGGAGAAAAAGGCCCGGCAAAACCCGG
RNAcentral lists this ribosomal RNA (432 nucleotides) under uncultured bacterium. RNAcentral's name for it is "partial 16S ribosomal RNA". It matches the Rfam family "Bacterial small subunit ribosomal RNA", at positions 30 to 506 of the family's 1533-position model. The record is from RNAcentral.